Molecule: ribosomal RNA, 528 nt
Filed under: uncultured Gammaproteobacteria bacterium
Lineage: Bacteria; Pseudomonadati; Pseudomonadota; Gammaproteobacteria
Description: bacterial SSU rRNA
Rfam family: Bacterial small subunit ribosomal RNA
Source: RNAcentral
AGGCAGCAGUGGGGAAUAUUGGACAAUGGGCGCAAGCCUGAUCCAGCAAUGCCGCGUGUGUGAAGAAGGCCUUCGGGUUGUAAAGCACUUUUAUCAGGAACGAAAUACCACGGGUUAAUAACCUAUGGGGCUGACGGUACCUGAGGAAUAAGCACCGGCUAACUUCGUGCCAGCAGCCGCGGUAAUACGAAGGGUGCAAGCGUUAAUCGGAAUUACUGGGCGUAAAGGGUGCGUAGGCGGUUGUUUAAGUCUGUCGUGAAAUCCCCGGGCUCAACCUGGGAAUGGCGAUGGAUACUGGCCAGCUAGAGUGUGUCAGAGGAUGGUGGAAUUUCCGGUGUAGCGGUGAAAUGCGUAGAGAUCGGGAGGAACAUCAGUGGCGAAGGCGGCCAUCUGGGACAACACUGACGCUGAAGCACGAAAGCGUGGGGAGCAAACAGGAUUAGAUACCCUGGUAGUCCACGCCCUAAACGAUGCGAACUGGAUGUUGGUCUCAACUCGGAGAUCAGUGUCGAAGCUAACGCGUUAAGU